Long non-coding RNA from Tympanuchus pallidicinctus (lesser prairie-chicken), 336 nucleotides. RefSeq lists it as uncharacterized. Lineage: Eukaryota; Metazoa; Chordata; Aves; Galliformes; Phasianidae. The transcript is spliced from 3 exons. The record is from RefSeq and is a predicted model, not a curated record.
AGAAACAAAACAAGGAAGAAAAGAUUAGGAAAAAGUACACAUAGAAGAAAUUCCACCUACCUUUGGAAGUGAUGCUCGUGAGCCUGAGCUUUGUGUUGUCAUGGUCAGUACAGUUGUUAUGCCUAAAGCCACUCUGGCUGGAGCUGCAUCCAUAUUGAUCCAAAAUGACACCCAAGAGAGAAUCACGAUCAAAAGACUUGGUAUCCCAGCAGAAUAGGACAGGCUGCCUACAGAUUACUGCUGCAAUGAACGUGGGAGAGUUUUGGACUGCACCCUAAAUUUCAAGCAACUAGGCAACAGAGAGGACUUCGCAGAACUAACUAACCUGUCUUCAGC